RNAcentral lists this ribosomal RNA (449 nucleotides) under uncultured bacterium. RNAcentral describes it as "bacterial SSU rRNA". It matches the Rfam family "Bacterial small subunit ribosomal RNA", at positions 355 to 796 of the family's 1533-position model. The record is from RNAcentral.
UGGGGAAUUUUGGACAAUGGGGGCAACCCUGAUCCAGCCAUGCCGCGUGAGUGAAGAAGGCCUUCGGGUUGUAAAGCUCUUUUGGUCGGGAAGAAAGGGUUUGGGCGAACAGCCUGGACUUGUGACGGUACCGACAGAAUAAGCACCGGCUAACUACGUGCCAGCAGCCGCGGUAAUACGUAGGGUGCGAGCGUUAAUCGGAAUUACUGGGCGUAAAGCGUGCGUAGGCGGUUGCUGAAGUCCGUUGUGAAAGCCCCGGGCUUAACCUGGGAAUGGCAGUGGAAACUAGGCGACUUGAAUCUGGCAGAGGGGGGUGGAAUGCCACGUGUAGCAGUGAAAUGCGUAGAGAUGUGGCGGAACACCGAUGGCGAAGGCAGCCCCCUGGGUUGAGAUUGACGCUCAGGCACGAAAGCGUGGGGAGCAAACAGGAUUAGAUACCCCCGUAGUCC